RNAcentral lists this ribosomal RNA (478 nucleotides) under uncultured Planctomycetales bacterium. RNAcentral describes it as "bacterial SSU rRNA". It matches the Rfam family "Bacterial small subunit ribosomal RNA", at positions 364 to 832 of the family's 1533-position model. The record is from RNAcentral. Lineage: Bacteria; Pseudomonadati; Planctomycetota; Planctomycetia; Planctomycetales.
UUUCGCAAUGCCCGAAAGGGUGACGAAGCGACGCCGCGUGUGGGAAGAAGGCCUUCGGGUUGUAAACCACUGUCGGGAGUUAAGAAAUGCAAGGAUAUUAAUAGUGUCUUUGUUUGACUAAGGCUCCGGAGGAAGCCACGGCUAACUCUGUGCCAGCAGCCGCGGUAAUACAGAGGCGGCAAGCGUUGUUCGGAAUUAUUGGGCGUAAAGAGCACGUAGGCGGCUAUGUAAGUCGGUUGUGAAAGCCUUCCGCUCAACGGAAGAACAGCAUCCGAUACUACAUGGCUUGAGUGCGGGAGGGGAGAGUGGAACUUCUGGUGGAGCGGUGAAAUGCGUAGAUAUCAGAAGGAACGCCGGCGGCGAAAGCGGCUCUCUGGCCCAUAACUGACGCUGAGUGUGCGAAAGCUAGGGGAGCAAACGGGAUUAGAUACCCCGGUAGUCCUAGCCGUAAACGAUGGGCACUAAGUAGAGGGGUUUU